Molecule: ribosomal RNA, 213 nt
Filed under: Metapeachia tropica
Lineage: Eukaryota; Metazoa; Cnidaria; Anthozoa; Actiniaria; Haloclavidae
Description: partial large subunit ribosomal RNA
Rfam family: Eukaryotic large subunit ribosomal RNA
Source: RNAcentral
CGACCCGGCUGAAUUCAAGCAUAUUAAUAAGCGGAGGAAAAGAAACUAACAAGGAUUCCCCUAGUAAUGGCGAAUGAAGCGGGAACAGCUCAAAUUUGAAAUCUCCGUCGCCUGCGACGGCGAAUUGUAGUUUCGAGAAGCACUUUCUCGGCGGAUCCGGGUUCGUCCAAGUUGCUUGGAAGAGCACGUCAUAGAGGGUGAGAACCCCGUCUG